CCUACGGGAGGCAGCAGUGGGGAAUAUUGCGCAAUGGGGGCAACCCUGACGCAGCCAUGCCGCGUGAAUGAAGAAGGCCUUCGGGUUGUAAAGUUCUUUCGGUAGCGAGGAAGGCAUUUAGUUUAAUAGACUAGGUGAUUGACGUUAACUACAGAAGAAGCACCGGCUAACUCCGUGCCAGCAGCCGCGGUAAUACGGAGGGUGCGAGCGUUAAUCGGAAUAACUGGGCGUAAAGGGCACGCAGGCGGUGACUUAAGUGAGGUGUGAAAGCCCCGGGCUUAACCUGGGAAUUGCAUUUCAUACUGGGUCGCGAGAGUACUUUAGGGAGGGGUAGAAUUCCACGUGUAGCGGUGAAAUGCGUAGAGAUGUGGAGGAAUACCGAAGGCGAAGGCAGCCCCUUGGGAAUGUACUGACGCUCAUGUGCGAAAGCGUGGGGAGCAAACAGGAUUAGAUACCCCAGUAGUC
Molecule: ribosomal RNA, 465 nt
Filed under: uncultured Haemophilus sp.
Lineage: Bacteria; Pseudomonadati; Pseudomonadota; Gammaproteobacteria; Pasteurellales; Pasteurellaceae
Description: bacterial SSU rRNA
Rfam family: Bacterial small subunit ribosomal RNA
Source: RNAcentral